This 922-nucleotide non-coding RNA is filed under the name Rhacophorus monticola (Loka flying frog). Its description in RNAcentral is "partial 12S ribosomal RNA". It matches the Rfam family "Bacterial small subunit ribosomal RNA". The record is from RNAcentral. Lineage: Eukaryota; Metazoa; Chordata; Amphibia; Anura; Rhacophoridae.
GUCCUAGCUUUACAAUCAAUUGUUUCUCAACUUACACAUGCAAGUAUCAGCAACCCCGUGAAAACGCCCUUUCCACCCUAUCAGGGUCAAGGAGUUAGCAUAAGGCACAGAACUCUUGCCCACAACGCUUAGUCUCACCACGCCUCCAAAGGUCUUCAGCAGUGAUAAAGAUUGUUUAUAAGCGCCAGCUUGAAUCAGUCAGAGAAAAGAGAGCCGGCCAACUCGGUGCCAGCCGCCGCGGCUAAACCGUCGGGCUCAAAUUGAUAGUAUGCGGCGUUAAGCGUGAUUAAAGAAAAACAAAAUUAGAGUUAAAUUUAGUCUUAGCGGUGAAAAGCUUGACACCUAGAAAAUCAUAAACGAAAGUUACUCUAACAUUAUACUCUUGAAUACACGACAGUUUGGGUACAAACUGGGAUUAGAUACCCCACUAUGCCAAACCGUAAAACUUAACCUACACUACAAACGCCCGGGCACUACGAGCUUUAGCUUAAAACCCAAAGGACUUGACGGUGUCCCACCCGACUAGAGGAGCCUGUUCUAUAAUCGAUAAUCCACGAUAUACCAAACCAUUUUUUGCCUUUCAGCCUGUAUACCUCCGUCGUAAGCUUACCGUAUGAACGAACAACAGUGAGCCCAAGGACUCAACGCCAUAACGUCAGGUCAAGGUGCAGCUUAUAAGAUGGAAGCAAUGAGCUACAAUUUCUAAUUUAGAACAAACGAAACACUACAUGAAACAUAGUCAUGAAGGAGGAUUUAGUAGUAAGUAGGAAAUAGAGAGUCCUACUUAAUUUGGCCCUGGGACGUGUACAAACCGCCCGUCACCCUCUUCGAUAACUAUUAAUCAAGUUUAUAACACAACUUACACACUUUAGAAGAGGUAAGUCGUAACACGGUAAGUAUACUAGAAAGUGUGCUUGGAAAA